This 107-nucleotide small RNA is filed under the name Marmota monax (woodchuck). The record is from RNAcentral. Lineage: Eukaryota; Metazoa; Chordata; Mammalia; Rodentia; Sciuridae.
GUCAGGUGUGGUGGUGAAUGCCUGUAAUCCCAGUGGCUCGGGAGGCUGAGGCAGGAGGAUUGUAAAUUCAAGUUCAGCCUCACCAACUUAGCAAGACCCUGUCUCUA